GACGAACGCUGGCGGCGUGCUUAACACAUGCAAGUCGAACGGAAAGGCCCUGCUGUUGUGGGGUGCUCGAGUGGCGAACGGGUGAGUAACACGUGAGUAACCUGCCCUUGACUUUGGGAUAACUUCAGGAAACUGGGGCUAAUACCGGAUAGGAGCUCCUGCUGCAUGGUGGGGGUUGGAAAGUUUCGGCGGUUGGGGAUGGACUCGCGGCUUAUCAGCUUGUUGGUGGGGUAGUGGCUUACCAAGGCUUUGACGGGUAGCCGGCCUGAGAGGGUGAACGGGCACCAUGGGACUAAGAUACGGACCAGUCUCCAACGGGAGGCAGCAGGGGGGAAUAUUGCACAAUGGGGGGAAGCGUAAUGCAGCAACGUCGCGUGCGGGAUGACGGCCUUCGGGGUGUAAACCGCUUUCGCCUGUGACGAAGCGUGAGUGACGGUAAUGGGUAAAGAAGCACCGGCUAACUACGUG
RNAcentral lists this ribosomal RNA (468 nucleotides) under uncultured bacterium. Its description in RNAcentral is "partial 16S ribosomal RNA". It matches the Rfam family "Bacterial small subunit ribosomal RNA", at positions 28 to 507 of the family's 1533-position model. The record is from RNAcentral.